RNAcentral lists this ribosomal RNA (497 nucleotides) under uncultured bacterium. RNAcentral's name for it is "partial 16S ribosomal RNA". It matches the Rfam family "Bacterial small subunit ribosomal RNA", at positions 28 to 507 of the family's 1533-position model. The record is from RNAcentral.
GACGAACGCUGGCGGCGUGCCUAAUACAUGCAAGUUGAGCGCUGAAGGUUGGUACUUGUACCAACUGGAUGAGCAGCGAACGGGUGAGUAACGCGUGGGGAAUCUGCCUUUGAGCGGGGGACAACAUUUGGAAACGAAUGCUAAUACCGCAUAAAAACUUUAAACACAAGAUUUAAGUAUGAAAGAUGCAAUUGCAACACUCAAAGAUGAUCCCGCGUUGUAUUAGCUAGUUGGUGAGGUAAAGGCUCACCAAGGCGAUGAUACAUAGCCGACCUGAGAGGGUGAUCGGCCACAUUGGGACUGAGACACGGCCCAAACUCCUACGGGAGGCAGCAGUAGGGAAUCUUCGGCAAUGGACGAAAGUCUGACCGAGCAACGCCGCGUGAGUGAAGAAGGUUUUCGGAUCGUAAAACUCUGUUGGUAGAGAAGAACGUUGGUGAGAGUGGAAAGCUCAUCAAGUGACGGUAACUACCCAGAAAGGGACGGCUAACUACGUG